AACGCACGAGACCUGCGGACCUGCGGAGGGAUCAUUACCGAGUUUACAACUCCCAAACCCAAUGUGAACGUUACCAAACUGUUGCCUCGGCGGGGUCACGCCCCGGGUGCGUCGCAGCCCCGGAACCAGGCGCCCGCCGGAGGAACCAACCAAACUCUUUCUGUAGUCCCCUCGCGGACGUUAUUUCUUACAGCUCUGAGCAAAAAUUCAAAAUGAAUCAAAACUUUUAACAAUGGAUCU
Molecule: unclassified non-coding RNA, 240 nt
Filed under: soil metagenome
Description: partial contains 5.8S ribosomal RNA, internal transcribed spacer 2, and large subunit ribosomal RNA
Source: RNAcentral